This 595-nucleotide long non-coding RNA is filed under the name Anser brachyrhynchus (Pink-footed goose). RNAcentral's name for it is "lncRNA (ENSABRG00000010841.1)". Lineage: Eukaryota; Metazoa; Chordata; Aves; Anseriformes; Anatidae. The record is from RNAcentral.
CAACUUCACCCCCUUGCCUGCUGCUGCCGGCUGUGUGCGUCACGGGAGCGAGCUGGCAGGGACCCGGAGGGGCCGUUCUGUUCCUGCGCUGCAGCUCCCAGGGGACACGGGACUCAAGACCACAGGGUCAGCCCAGAAGGAAAUUUUGGGGUGAAGCUAUUAAUCACAUAAUUCCAGACUCUGCAUGCUGUUGUGACAUUAAUAUCAGAGGUAACUUCAAAAAUGUGCAAAGUGCAUUAUGAAUUUUCCCAGACAGAUUAGGUACGUACAUAAGUUUUAUAAACCUAGUCUUAACCUUCUUUUUCAAAUCUCCUUUUCUAGGAACUCCAUUAAAGCAUGAAGAACAAUAGUGUGAUUAUAACUGCUGUAACACAAAGAGCUGAGUGAUAUCCUGGAGUCAUGCUGUUGUUGCUCUGAGUGAGUUCUAGAGCAGAGAAUGAUUUGUUGCAGAAACUUAGGGUCAAAUUUUGUCAGGGGAUUAGAAAGUUGCCUCUAAAUACAUUCACUCACCUGCCACAAAGCUGAUCAUAUGGUAUGAUUACUUUUAUAUAUAUAUAUAUAUAUAUAUAUAUAUAUAUUGUAGCCGCAAGUCUGA